Pristionchus pacificus is the source of this 61-nucleotide non-coding RNA. Lineage: Eukaryota; Metazoa; Nematoda; Chromadorea; Rhabditida; Neodiplogasteridae. The record is from Rfam.
UCUUCAUUUCUUACGCUCUUUCACCGGUCAGAAAGACGAAAGAGCACGCGAAAUGAAGAGA